This is a non-coding RNA of Schistosoma rodhaini, 45 nucleotides long. The record is from Rfam. NCBI's taxonomy places the organism in Eukaryota, Metazoa, Platyhelminthes, Trematoda, Strigeidida, Schistosomatidae.
AUCCAGCUGACGAGUCCCAAAUAGGAUAAAACGCGCGUCCUGGAU